CAUGCAGGCGGUCGGACGCGUUUUGUGUGACAGCGGGUGGCUUAACUACCCGAGUAUGCGAAAGACGGUCUGACUUGAGGGCUCGAGAGGGACACGGAAUUCCGGGUGGAGUGGUGAAAUGCGUAGAGAUCCGGAGGAACACCGAAGGCGAAGGCAGUGUCCUGGCGAGUGACUGACGCUGAGGUGCGAAAGCUAGGGGAGCGAACGGGAUUAGAUACCCCGGUAGUCCUAGCCGUAAACGAUGACCACCAGGUGUGGGAGGUAUCGACCCCUUCCGUGCCGGAGGAAACCCACUAAGUGGUCCGCCUGGGAGUACGGUCGCAAGAUUAAA
This 331-nucleotide ribosomal RNA is filed under the name uncultured bacterium. Its description in RNAcentral is "bacterial SSU rRNA". It matches the Rfam family "Bacterial small subunit ribosomal RNA", at positions 568 to 898 of the family's 1533-position model. The record is from RNAcentral.